UACAGAGGGUGCUAGCGUUGUUCGGAAUUAUUGGGCGUAAAGCGCGUGUAGGCGGCCUAGCAUGUCGGGUGUGAAAGCCCUCGGCUUAACCGAGGAAGUGCGCCCGAAACUACUAGGCUUGAGUCCCGGAGAGGGUGGCGGAAUUCCCGGUGUAGAGGUGAAAUUCGUAGAUAUCGGGAGGAACACCAGCGGCGAAGGCGGCCACCUGGACGGAAACUGACGCUGAGACGCGAAAGCGUGGGGAGCAAAC
RNAcentral lists this ribosomal RNA (250 nucleotides) under uncultured bacterium. RNAcentral's name for it is "partial 16S ribosomal RNA". It matches the Rfam family "Bacterial small subunit ribosomal RNA", at positions 524 to 773 of the family's 1533-position model. The record is from RNAcentral.